This 90-nucleotide transfer RNA is filed under the name Bacteroidota bacterium. RNAcentral's name for it is "Bacteroidetes bacterium (freshwater metagenome) tRNA-Ser". It matches the Rfam family "tRNA". From Rfam's summary of the family: Transfer RNA (tRNA) molecules are approximately 80 nucleotides in length. Their secondary structure includes four short double-helical elements and three loops (D, anti-codon, and T loops). Lineage: Bacteria; Pseudomonadati; Bacteroidota. The record is from RNAcentral.
GGAGAGAUGGCAGAGUGGUCGAUUGCGGCGGUCUUGAAAACCGUUGAGCCUGCGAGGGCUCCCAGGGUUCGAAUCCCUGUUUCUCCGCCA